This is a small nuclear RNA of Artibeus jamaicensis (Jamaican fruit-eating bat), 107 nucleotides long. Lineage: Eukaryota; Metazoa; Chordata; Mammalia; Chiroptera; Phyllostomidae. The record is from RefSeq and is a predicted model, not a curated record.
GUGCUCACUUUGGCAGCACAUAUACUAAAAUGGAAACAAUACAGAGAAGAUUAACAUGGCCUUUGCACAACAAUGGCAUGCAAAUCUGUGAAGCUUUCUAUAUUUUU